CCUACGGGAGGCAGCAGUGAGGAAUAUUGGUCAAUGGCCGAGAGGCUGAACCAGCCAAGUCGCGUGAAGGAAGAAUGUCCUAUGGGUUGUAAACCUCUUUUAUCAGGGAGUAAAGUCACCCACGUGUGGCUGUUUGAGCGUACCUUAAGAACAAGCAUCGGCUAACUCCGUGCCAGCAGCCGCGGUAAUACGGAGGAUGCGAGCGUUAUCCGGAUUUAUUGGGUUUAAAGGGUGCGUAGGCGGAAUGCGAAGUCAGCGGGAAAAUCGCGGGGCUAAACCUCGCUACGCCGUUGAAACUGGCGUUCUUGAGUGGGGGAGAAGUAGGCGGAAUGCGUGGUGUAGCGGUGAAAUGCAUAGAUAUCACGCAGAACUCCGAUUGCGAAGGCAGCAUACUGGAGUCCAACUGACGCUGAAGCACGAAAGCGUGGGUAUCGAACAGGAUUAGAUACCCGGGUAGUC
RNAcentral lists this ribosomal RNA (459 nucleotides) under uncultured bacterium. Its description in RNAcentral is "partial 16S ribosomal RNA". It matches the Rfam family "Bacterial small subunit ribosomal RNA", at positions 338 to 795 of the family's 1533-position model. The record is from RNAcentral.